GAGUCACGUAGCGUAGUGGUAGCGCUUCCGCCUCGUAAGCGGUAAACCGGCAUUCAAAUCCCGACUCG
RNAcentral lists this transfer RNA (68 nucleotides) under Culex quinquefasciatus (southern house mosquito). RNAcentral describes it as "tRNA-Thr". Lineage: Eukaryota; Metazoa; Arthropoda; Insecta; Diptera; Culicidae. The record is from RNAcentral.